Molecule: ribosomal RNA, 1371 nt
Filed under: uncultured bacterium
Lineage: Bacteria
Description: bacterial SSU rRNA
Rfam family: Bacterial small subunit ribosomal RNA
Source: RNAcentral
GAUGAACGCUGGUGGCGUGCCUAAUACAUGCAAGUCGAGCGAACGGACGAGAAGCUUGCUUCUCUGAUGUUAGCGGCGGACGGGUGAGUAACACGUGGAUAACCUACCUAUAAGACUGGGAUAACUUCGGGAAACCGGAGCUAAUACCGGAUAAUAUUUUGAACCGCAUGGUUCAAAAGUGAAAGACGGUCUUGCUGUCACUUAUAGAUGGAUCCGCGCUGCAUUAGCUAGUUGGUAAGGUAACGGCUUACCAAGGCAACGAUGCAUAGCCGACCUGAGAGGGUGAUCGGCCACACUGGAACUGAGACACGGUCCAGACUCCUACGGGAGGCAGCAGUAGGGAAUCUUCCGCAAUGGGCGAAAGCCUGACGGAGCAACGCCGCGUGAGUGAUGAAGGUCUUCGGAUCGUAAAACUCUGUUAUUAGGGAAGAACAUAUGUGUAAGUAACUGUGCACAUCUUGACGGUACCUAAUCAGAAAGCCACGGCUAACUACGUGCCAGCAGCCGCGGUAAUACGUAGGUGGCAAGCGUUAUCCGGAAUUAUUGGGCGUAAAGCGCGCGUAGGCGGUUUUUUAGUCUGAUGUGAAAGCCCACGGCUCAACCGUGGAGGGUCAUUGGAAACUGGAAAACUUGAGUGCAGAAGAGGAAAGUGGAAUUCCAUGUGUAGCGGCGAAAUGCGCAGAGAUAUGGAGGAACACCAGUGGCGAAGGCGACUUUCUGGUCUGUAACUGACGCUGAUGUGCGAAAGCGUGGGGAUCAAACAGGAUUAGAUACCCUGGUAGUCCACGCCGUAAACGAUGAGUGCUAAGUGUUAGGGGGUUUCCGCCCCUUAGUGCUGCAGCUAACGCAUUAAGCACUCCGCCUGGGGAGUACGACCGCAAGGUUGAAACUCAAAGGAAUUGACGGGGACCCGCACAAGCGGUGGAGCAUGUGGUUUAAUUCGAAGCAACGCGAAGAACCUUACCAAAUCUUGACAUCCUUUGACAACUCUAGAGAUAGAGCCUUCCCCUUCGGGGGACAAAGUGACAGGUGGUGCAUGGUUGUCGUCAGCUCGUGUCGUGAGAUGUUGGGUUAAGUCCCGCAACGAGCGCAACCCUUAAGCUUAGUUGCCAUCAUUAAGUUGGGCACUCUAAGUUGACCGCCGGUGACAAACCAGAGGAAGGUGGGGAUGACGUCAAAUCAUCAUGCCCCUUAUGAUUUGGGCUACACACGUGCUACAAUGGACAAUACAAAGGGCAGCGAAACCGCGAGGUCAAGCAAAUCCCAUAAAGUUGUUCUCAGUUCGGAUUGUAGUCUGCAACUCGCCUACAUGAAGCUGGAAUCGCUAGUAAUCGUAGAUCAGCAUGCUACGGUGAAUACGUUCCCGGGUCU